This is a long non-coding RNA of Uranotaenia lowii, 578 nucleotides long. RefSeq lists it as uncharacterized. The transcript has 2 exons. NCBI's taxonomy places the organism in Eukaryota, Metazoa, Arthropoda, Insecta, Diptera, Culicidae. The record is from RefSeq and is a predicted model, not a curated record.
AUAGUAACGUGCAUAUCGCGUCAUGGUUUAAUGUGUCUCUGCUAAAACGGAUGAAAUACUAUUUCUGGAAGAUUCUAAGAAUCUUCUGAAUACCGAAUCGAUAAAUUUAGCAACGCGCUGAAAUGAUAAAAAACUAUUCCUGGAAGAUACAAUUAACGAUCCUUAAAAUAAUUCGAGGUUUUUUGCAACACGCCUUAAGUUCUUUGCUGUCACGUUAACACACGUGGUUUAAUUCGUGGAAAAAAAACCCAGCCAGAGUUCAAUCUUGUGAAUCUGGAAAGGGAGAAAGGUUGGAUCAUUCGGCGACGGAGCUAGCUUUGCCGGUAAUGGGGCUGUUAGGCAAUUGGAGGCCGCGGAUAGUCACCGGAGGAAGAUGGCAAGAUAUGGCAUUCCAUCGGCCAAGAAGCGUGGCAAAUUCAAGGACAACCAAGCACCACCACUGGAAAACCGCGGAAACGCCACAGCGUCAAACAGGAGUUGGAUCGCGCGACCGUGGCCAAACUCAGUGUUUGUGGUAAAUUGUGUUACAACGGCAGCUUCAAGAUAGCAUGUUUGAAAUAAAAAAAUGUGUAAAAUAA